UGGCAGAAAAAACGGAUGCUGCGUAUUUUUAACGCAUUAAACUGAAAAAUAAUAAUAAUUUCAAAAUUAAUGCGUUAAUCUUGACAGCCGUAAUUUAUUUAUUUAUUUACUGUUUGCGUAUGGGAGUGGAAGAAUCGCUUAAGCUCGAAGGAUAAAGCUUGGAGAUGUGAGGUUAAAAGAUCAUUAAGAGGUUUUGAUAUGCUCGGAUAUUAUAUGGCCACUUAUGUAUGCCAGUGAGAUAAGUUAUAGUAGUACUGUAUUUGAGCAAUAAAACCUUUCAAAACUGAAAAUGAUUAUAAGGAGAUAAACCGUAUUAUUUAAAGAAAUACGCAACCAGAGAGAGGAGGAGGAAACGCAGCAAGCAGAGGAUGCGAGAAGAAUAGAGUUUGAUGCUGGAGCGUCAUCAUUGCCUAGUGACUCUCCUAGCAACAGGAAACAUCUGUUUCAGUGUCGACCAAUCAGGAGCCGGUGCAGUCUGUUAUUGCUCUCUGAACAGAAAGGGGAUAUUUUAAGAGCCGAGAGUGAGCCGAAUACUACAGGGAUUAUAUCAAAAGCAAGACUUCGACAUCUGGGGGCGAAGCGUCAAGCUCACGCGGAGCUGAAAGCGGCUACAUUCGGCACAAUAUGAGCUGUUUUGAGCCUCUGAUCUGAUGAACGCGCGUGCAGGGACUGUUAAUGUGGCUUUAUAAAUAAGGAACCAAUAGGCAAUGUGUGUGAGCCAGAGGAAAGAGCCUCAGGUGAAUAGAGGAUUUGUCAGAGAGGCGUGUGAGUGUGUCUGCGUGAAGCAGUCCUCAGGGUCUUUCCUCUAAGAGUGCCCUCAACGGUCGACAACGUCGAAAGUUGCCUACUUUAAGCGAAAAUAUGCGGAAGAGGAGGAUGUUCAGGGAAGCCUACAUGGAUAUUUACAAAAACACCUGAUCCUGCGUGAGGAGCGCAGCUGCAUCUUGCGCCUAUCUCUGCAGAAGCUGCGUUUCCUAGACGACCCCGAGGCUUACCUCCGCCGCUCCGUGCUCAUCAACAACCUGCUACGCAAGAUCCACCUGGACGAAGCCCAGAGGGAAAGAGAGAAACAGAGAGAUGACAAGGAGGAGGAGCAGGAGACAGAGAGGAGGCGGAAGAGACUGAAGGUGGUGCUCCAGGAGUUCCAGCAGUACAAGCUGCUGCCGUACUCACCCUCCCCAGCCACGUGCAUCUGUGGCCUGGGGAGCUGCCACACCCUGCCUCCUGAUCAUGGAGCUUCAGUGCUACUCUACCACUUGGAUGAUAAAGGAUAAGAUAUCAUCGUGUGUAUGCACGGGAUUUCCAACUGUCCAUGACUGAUUUCCAGGAGCCAGCAAAAAGGGGGAUUCGGGUUUGUGUGCAUUUGUGCUUGUGCAAGUCUGCUGGUGAGCAUGAGCUCUGUGGUUUGUGACGUAACAGGUGUCCGCCCAUAUCAGGGUGUAUUUUUCCAAGUGGAAAAAGACAACAUCAUAUUGUUAUCACUGCCUCGCUCUGUUAAUCUGAACUUUGACCACAGAUGUUUUGUUUUAAUAAAUUUGCUUGAGUGACUUAUAAUCUUAAACACUGUUUUCAGGGAUAAAAAAGGCAAACAAAAGCCAUGCACCUUGUGGUUGUUAUGUUAUAAAAAAAAAUUAAAUGAAAUUGUCAGUUUCAAAAUCCUUGUUGCUCCUAAGGUUGGAGUGAUUUUACUUGCUCUGAAAUGAACUUUUUUGUGCGUGUAAGUGGCUACAUAUGUCGAACUAGCUAAUGUUUUUUUAUUAAGUUCUCAUACCUUUAACAAACAAACAAAUAAAAAAAUAAAACAAAGAAUAUAUGGAGAUGUAUGAGGGAAAAUAAGUAAAACUAAUAUUUCUUUCAAGGCCUUCUGGUUUUUUCAGCUUAAACAGGGUCUCUAGUGACAUGCAACUUUCAUAAUAGUAAAACAAAAACAAAAAAAAUGUAAACGGUUCAUUUGCAUUUGCUACUUGUGUUUAAUUAAGGUCUUUGCAUACAGCCUUUUGAGGCUUUUGGCAGAAACUGUUAUGUUAAGGUGACUCUGCCAUCUAGUGUUAUGGCAGUGAAUUCUCCGCUACUUUAAUUCAUUCAUUUCAAUCAUCUCUACUACCUGCAGUUUAUAAUGCUGUUUUACAGUCAUCUGAAGGUAGUCAAUUGAUAGUAAUUUAGUUAUUCAGUCCAGUUUGUCCCAAUGCCUCAUUUGUACACACAUGGAUUUUCUACAUUUCUGUCUCUUUAAUAUCUGGAUCUGGAAACACUAACUGUGUGGGUGUUGGAAUAUCUCCUAGCAAUGACCUACAUUCAGUGCAAAAACCCACGGUUUAUGACUAACAGGGAAAACAAGGUAUACAUGCUCAAUGUAGUGUAAAAUCUCCCACUCUCUUUUACACAGAACCUCAGAUGAUCCUGUUCUCAUCUCAUAUCGCUGUGCAUGUCUCACAUGUUGGUUACACAAGGUUUUCUAACAGGCAAAGUAGUGCAAAAAUAUUUUGGUACAGUAUAUAAUGACUGGUACUUUUAUCAUUGAUAUUUUGUGUGUUUGUUUAUGCACAUUUGUAUGUGUAAUGUAUUUUUUUCAAUAUCUGAAUGUAAUUUACUGAGAUCUAAAUUCAGAGUGCUAUCUUUUGGACAUUUCAAAGCAUAGACAUGGAUAUCCAGUUUAUUUUGAAAUGGAGCUAUUUUUUGUUUCAAAGAGAACAUUAUUCCUCAGAGAAUUAAGUGCUAUUUUGCCAAAAGAUUUAAAAGUAGCAUAUACGAGAAUUGUCUAUUUUCAUGGCACUGCAGUCAAAUAAAAUAAAAUAUUGAAUGUUUCACUCA
This is a long non-coding RNA of Ctenopharyngodon idella (grass carp), 2811 nucleotides long. RefSeq lists it as uncharacterized. The record is from RefSeq and is a predicted model, not a curated record. Lineage: Eukaryota; Metazoa; Chordata; Actinopteri; Cypriniformes; Xenocyprididae. The transcript is spliced from 4 exons.